This 446-nucleotide ribosomal RNA is filed under the name uncultured bacterium. RNAcentral describes it as "bacterial SSU rRNA". It matches the Rfam family "Bacterial small subunit ribosomal RNA", at positions 330 to 792 of the family's 1533-position model. The record is from RNAcentral.
GCCAGACUCCUACGGGAGGCAGCAGUGGGGGAUAUUGCACAAUGGGGGGAACCCUGAUGCAGCGACGCCGCGUGCGUGAAGGAGCGUUUCGGCGCGUAAAGCCCUAUCGGCAGGGAAGAAGGAGGACGGUACCUGACUAAGAAGCCCCGGCUAACUACGUGCCAGCAGCCGCGGUAAUACGUAGGGGGCAAGCGUUAUCCGGAUUUACUGGGUGUAAAGGGGGCGCAGACGGCAGCGCAAGCCAGGAGUGAAAGCCCGGGGCCCAACCCCGGGACUGCUCUUGGAACUGCGCGGCUGGAGUGCAGGAGGGGCAGGCGGAAUUCCUGGUGUAGCGGUGAAAUGCGUAGAUAUUAGGAGGAACACCGGUGGCGAAGGCGGCCUGCUGGACUGUGACUGACGUUGAGGCCCGAAGGCGUGGGGAGCAAACAGGAUUAGAUACCCUGGUA